CUCGGAUCAGGUAGGAAUACCCGCUGAACU
Molecule: ribosomal RNA, 30 nt
Filed under: Beauveria bassiana
Lineage: Eukaryota; Fungi; Ascomycota; Sordariomycetes; Hypocreales; Cordycipitaceae
Description: partial 28S ribosomal RNA
Source: RNAcentral